GAUAAAAAAUUAUGGCAAAUUACAUUUAUUCAAUAACAACAAUAAGCAUCAAUUAAUUUUUCUCAUAAAACAAUAGAGAAUGUUAACCAACUUCUCAAUUCAAAUUGGCUACAGAAUAUAAUUAUAAUGGAGUUCAAAUAUUUUAGGUAGGAUCAGAUAAAUAGAUAAUAUUUCUUAUAAUCCUAUUAAAAGGCUAUUCUAAAAUAGCAAAACAAAAUCUUGAAUAUUCUUAAUACCAAAUGUUAUGUAUUGUAUUGUAUGGUCGUAUGUGUUUUGUAGUUUAGUCGUAAGAGUUGUGUCCCUUUGUACAUGUUGUAUGAUGAUGAUGCAUAUUUGUCAUGUGAUGUUAUCAGUCUCUUUGAAAUAAAUGUGCUAUGGAAAUAGACGUGUUUUUGUUGCUCUUAAGCAAAUAUAACUUUAGCGGCAUGGGGAGGCAAGUAUAGUCCCCACCAUGUAUAAUAUGGUGGAGGACUUCAAAA
RNAcentral lists this long non-coding RNA (479 nucleotides) under Mytilus galloprovincialis (Mediterranean mussel). The record is from RNAcentral. Lineage: Eukaryota; Metazoa; Mollusca; Bivalvia; Mytilida; Mytilidae.